Molecule: long non-coding RNA, 547 nt
Organism: Dermacentor silvarum
Lineage: Eukaryota; Metazoa; Arthropoda; Arachnida; Ixodida; Ixodidae
Exons: 4
Source: RefSeq, a predicted model, not a curated record
GUUGACGUCCUUGAUGUCGAGGUGGUGCCAGAGACGCAGCAACAAAUGCCUGCACGCACGGUCUACACGCUGCCGAAUCCACCAUUAACCCUGAAGAUGAUCAUGGAAAAUCAUGAGCCUGGGAAGCAUUUCAGGAACAGAAAUCAAGUAGUGCAAUGGCUUUUCCAUGACCUCUGCUCAUACACACUGUACCCUGGAAAGCUGUAUGAUGUUGCUGCUAGCGCCCUGGUUAAUGCCUACGAGAACUUAAAGGACUCAACGGGAACUGGACAUGAUUCCUGGCGAGAGGCCCUUAGGUUUAGGGCAAAGUAAGAACGCAGAAAGAUGAGGCAAGAAGCUGGAGAAGCAACUCCUGUGGCAGCCAAGAGGCCAUGCAAGCCUACCAUUUCUGAGGAUGUUCAGAAAAGAGUUACAAGGCCUUACGUGGCUACUGAUCUCUGUGAUGCAGAGGACCCAGAAAGUAUUGUGGCACAUAUAUCUGGCAUGCAGAAGGAGAUGAGGAAGGCGAGGCCAGACAAAGCAUAUAUAAGUGACAGCAUGUCUAGGA